This 866-nucleotide ribosomal RNA is filed under the name uncultured Gammaproteobacteria bacterium. RNAcentral's name for it is "bacterial SSU rRNA". It matches the Rfam family "Bacterial small subunit ribosomal RNA", at positions 33 to 887 of the family's 1533-position model. The record is from RNAcentral. Lineage: Bacteria; Pseudomonadati; Pseudomonadota; Gammaproteobacteria.
ACGCUGGCGGCAUGCCUAACACAUGCAAGUCGAACGGCAGCAUGUUCUUUCUUCGGAAAGAAUGAUGGCGAGUGGCGGACGGGUGAGUAACGCGUGGGAAUCUGCCUUAAAGUGGGGAAUAACUUGGGGAAACUCAAGCUAAUACCGCAUAAUCUCUACGGAGCAAAGCUGGGGAUCUUUCGGGACCUGGCGCUUUAAGAUGAGCCUGCGUCAGAUUAGCUAGUUGGUAGGGUAAAGGCCUACCAAGGCGAUGAUCUGUAGCUGGUCUGAGAGGAUGAUCAGCCACACUGGGACUGAGACACGGCCCAGACUCCUACGGGAGGCAGCAGUGGGGAAUAUUGGACAAUGGGCGAAAGCCUGAUCCAGCAAUGCCGCGUGUGUGAAGAAUGCCUUCGGGUUGUAAAGCACUUUCAGUAAGGAAGAAAACUCAGGAGUUAAUACCUCUUGAGCCUGACGUUACUUACAGAAGAAGCACCGGCUAACUCUGUGCCAGCAGCCGCGGUAAUACAGAGGGUGCGAGCGUUAAUCGGAAUUAUUGGGCGUAAAGCGCGUGUAGGCGGAAGAUUAAGUUAGUUGUGAAAUACAUGGGCUCAACCUGUGGACUGCAUCUAAAACUGGUUUUCUAGAGUAUGGUAGAGGGAAGUGGAAUUUCCGGUGUAGCGGUGGAAUGCAUAGAUAUCGGAAGGAACCUCAGUGGCGAAGGCGGCUUCCUGGACCAAUACUGACGCUGAGACGCGAAAGCGUGGGUAGCAAACAGGAUUAGAUACCCUGGUAGUCCACGCCGUAAACGAUGAGAACUAGGCGUUGGGAUGUAUAUCUUAGUGCCGUAGCUAACGCGUUAAGUUCUCCGCCUGGGGAGUACGGCC